Helianthus annuus (common sunflower) is the source of this 1818-nucleotide long non-coding RNA. RefSeq lists it as uncharacterized. NCBI's taxonomy places the organism in Eukaryota, Viridiplantae, Streptophyta, Magnoliopsida, Asterales, Asteraceae. The record is from RefSeq and is a predicted model, not a curated record. The transcript is spliced from 2 exons.
UUUGAGAAAACAAAAUAUAUAAAAAGGCCAAAUUAACGGGACUUAAAAACAUAACAGGUUAUAAUUUCCCGAACCCGUUAAAAUAACUAGGAGUAAUUAACCUAGUUAGUGGCUUGUGAUUAAGUGACUAAUGGUGAGGCAUAGCUUUAUUUGAUCAAAAGAAAACCCGAGGGACCAAAACCGUUAAAAAUGGGAAACUUGAAAGAUUAAAACAAAAUAAACACCACCAAACACACACUUAGGUGUGUUUGGUCGAUUAAAAACGCAGGGAACGAGCAGGAGCUUCACACAAACCCUAACUCUCACUAAAUCAAUCAAUUGAAGGCUCUAAUCUGGUCCAAAUCGAAAUCCGAGCACGUAUUAGUGAUCCCCACUGAAAAAGGAGUCACAAGUUUGACUCUGACAAGUAGGUAGGAGCUUGGAAAUGAACGGGUCAAAUGGAUACAAGUUCAAGUAUGAAGCUCGCAAGGAUGCAAGGUAAGUAUAACUUACACUAGUCAUAUAUUUUAGAAUGUUCUUUUGUCGUAUUGACUACGAAUAAGACAAAUGGUAAUUUAGUCACACGUUGACAAUAAUCGUUAGUUUUAAAAGACGCUUUCCCGCGUAAGACAUAAAGAGCCGAAAGUGGUAAUAAACGGUUUAUAAAUAAAAUGAGCAUACGGUGUUAAAAGGAGCGAGUCAUGUAGAUGAGAUGAUAAUAAAUAUUAUCUCGCAAAGAUAAACGGUCAAUUCGGCCAAACGGGUCAAAAGGUGUAGACAUCACCUUUUGACAAUAUCGACUAAUGAUUCUGGUGUCGAGUUAUAUGUUUACAGGAGUAGAUAUCCAAUGGAUACUCGCAUCGCUCUUAAUUAGCAAUUAUAAAGCAAGGUAUUAAACCGGGUUAGUAAGUUGAUCCGAGCCAGGUAUGUAUAAUAGAUUAACUCAUCUGUAGAACUUGAAGUUCUAUGAAAGUUAGGCAAAAUAAAAAAAAGGGCAUUCGAUUACCUUAAUAGGUAAACCGAAGGAUUUAAAUUAUUUAGACAGAAUGUUUUGAAAACAAGAUUUGGUUAAAAAUGAGAAAUUAGAAUCAAACAACAGGUUUGUUUGAUAAAAUCACGAACGGGUCAAAUUUGGUAAAAAGGGUUAAUAAGCCGAAGACUUAAAAGUCUUAAAUUUUGUUAAUCCAGAUGUUGGGUCUUGACUCCAUUUGAUGGAGGUUCAAUUUACAAUCACGUACGAAGAAACGGUAGGUCAAAUGGACAAGCGGAUUAAAAGUUAUGAAGGUUUCCGUUUUAGAAAUCGGCAAACUUGGAAAAUCUUGCAGAGGCCACCGUAAGUUACGGUAGCUACCGUAACUUACGGUAGCCUUAAAAAUCUUUACGCCUUAAACCCACUGACUUACGGUGGAAGAAUCAACAUUCAGGGGCUACCGUAAAUUACGGUAGCCACCGAAAUUUACGGUAACAAAAUUUAUUUUAAUCAGUUUCGUUUCCCAGAACUCGUUAGACACGUUUAUAACCCCCGUAAGACUAAAGCAUUUCUUGUUUAUGAAAUGUAGGUACAUUUUGGAUGCCGGAAGACGAUCAAGCUCAUUGGAGAACCGAACACGAUAUAGAUACACGCUUCCGCACAUUGCCACGUUGUAAAUUUUAAACAACGAACUCAAUUACGUUUGUUGGAUAACUUAUGAUUUGUAAAAGUUUUAAUAAACCCGCAUUUUGUAUAGUAUGUGUGGUCUUAACUACACAUCUAAUUGUGGUAUUUUCAUGUAAAAUUGUAAUUUAGUAACUAGGGUGUUACAGUGGUAGUAUAUUCCCUGCAAUCUACCCCACUCAUUC